Molecule: non-coding RNA, 45 nt
Filed under: Schistosoma mansoni
Lineage: Eukaryota; Metazoa; Platyhelminthes; Trematoda; Strigeidida; Schistosomatidae
Source: RNAcentral
AUCCAGCUGACGAGUUCCAAAUAUGACGAAACGCGCGUUCUGGAU